GAUGAAGAACGUAGCGAAAUGCGAUAAGUAAUGUGAAUUGCAGAAUUCAGUGAAUCAUCGAGACUUUGAACGCACAUUGCGCCCCCUGGUAUUCCGGGGGGCAUGCCUGUCCGAGCGUCAUUGCCGCCCUCAAGCACGGCUUGUGUGUUGGGCCCCCGCCCCCCGGCUUCGGGGGGCGGGCCCGAAAGGCAGCGGCGGCACCGCGUCCGGUCCUCGAGCGUAUGGGGCUUCGUCACCCGCUCUGUAGGCCCGGCCGGCGCCCGCCGGCGACCCCAAUCAAUCUUUCCAGGUUGACCUCGGAUCAGGUAGGGAUACCCGCUGAACUUAAGCAUAUCAAUAAGCGGAGGA
This 348-nucleotide unclassified non-coding RNA is filed under the name soil metagenome. RNAcentral describes it as "partial contains 5.8S ribosomal RNA, internal transcribed spacer 2, and large subunit ribosomal RNA". The stretch from base 1 to 120 matches the Rfam family "5.8S ribosomal RNA", at positions 35 to 154 of the family's 154-position model. The record is from RNAcentral.